RNAcentral lists this ribosomal RNA (253 nucleotides) under uncultured bacterium. RNAcentral's name for it is "partial 16S ribosomal RNA". It matches the Rfam family "Bacterial small subunit ribosomal RNA", at positions 524 to 776 of the family's 1533-position model. The record is from RNAcentral.
UACGAAGGGUGCAAGCGUUACUCGGAAUUACUGGGCGUAAAGCGUGCGUAGGUGGUUCGUUAAGUCUGAUGUGAAAGCCCUGGGCUCAACCUGGGAAUGGCGUUUGAAACUACGGAGCUGGAGUGUGGCAGAGGGAGGUAGAAUUCCACGUGUAGCGGUGAAAUGCGUAGAUAUGUGGAGGAAUACCGAUGGCGAAGGCAGCCUCCUGGGCCAACACUGACGCUCAUGCACGAAAGCGUGGGGAGCAAACAGG